CAUCAAGCUUUGGGAUGAGGGAGUAGAUAAAAUUAUGGUACGCACAUUACCUCUCUUGACUACUGUCGUAUAUGGAACGAAAUUUAUGACAUGUUUUCUCAAUGCUGAGAAGUCAAAAACUAGAGAAUUUAGACAAGAAAAUACCUAAAGAAAAGCACAAUAUUGAAGAAGAAUAUGAUACAGUACAUCAAGAAAUCUCAACAUGUGUGCAAAGACACUGCAGUGGUUUAGAAUUCUUCUCUGUAAUUGAAUCUCUGUUUGCAAUUUCCUUUUUAAUACAAAUACUAAUCACUGUUGUCAUCAUAAGUCUUAUUGGAAUACUGGUUAUAAUAAACUUAAAUAAACCACACGAGGCUUUUAGAUUUGUACUAUUUGUUGUUGCUCAUUCGUUUAGUUUAUUUUAUCUUAGUUUAUCAUCGCAACGACUAACCGAUAAAAUUAGUUUACUUUUUAAAAAUGUAUAUUUCUGUCGAUGGUAUGAACUGCCAAUAAAAUCAAGAAAAAUGAUACUUCAAAUAUUGACGAAAACAAAAUACACGUACAAACUUACCGCUCUUCAAAUUUAUUCUAUUGAAAUAGAAAGCUUUUCAGUGAUGAUUCGCGCGUCAAUGUCUUAUUUCACAAUGCUUUCAUCGAUGAGAUAAAUUCUUAAUUAUAAUCUAUAUUAAAAUACAACUAAGAUGUGUGAGCCUCAUGAGUGUAAACUACUUAAUAGCUUGUAGCAGUAAGGAGAAUAUAGAGGAGCUUUUAGUGGAAAUGAAGAAAAAUUGGUUUAUUUGGAAAUCCGAAAGGGAAUUUAAAAUUCUUCAUGAACACGAUCUUCAAGGUAGAAAGUUCAUCAUUACAUUUUUGGUUGUUAUUUGCACAUGUUGGUUUGAAUUUCUUUUAGAACCACUGUGUCCAUUAAUUAUGGAUAUCAUAAUGCCAUUAAAUCAGUCUCGUCCAAGAAAAUUCAACCCAGUGGUAGAAUAUUUUGUAAAUCAA
RNA transcript from Leptopilina heterotoma, 984 nucleotides. It is a transcript of the gene named odorant receptor 13a-like, with no coding region annotated. The transcript is spliced from 9 exons. NCBI's taxonomy places the organism in Eukaryota, Metazoa, Arthropoda, Insecta, Hymenoptera, Figitidae. The record is from RefSeq and is a predicted model, not a curated record.